Thunnus maccoyii (southern bluefin tuna) is the source of this 1201-nucleotide long non-coding RNA. RefSeq lists it as uncharacterized. NCBI's taxonomy places the organism in Eukaryota, Metazoa, Chordata, Actinopteri, Scombriformes, Scombridae. The record is from RefSeq and is a predicted model, not a curated record. The transcript is spliced from 2 exons.
UUUCACGGUGAACUGGUAAUUUCUUCGGGCGGAAGCGGAUUGUUUCCCACCUUUGCUCGCUCGUCCUCCCACUCAGAGCUCGUCUGGAGCUCAGCGCUGGCGUUUUUUAAAGCUGUUUUCUUGUGGCUUUAGUCGGCGAGGGCAAUCGCACAAAGACCCUGCAAAAUCACAUAAAACCCCCCUCUUUGAAAUUCUUCAACCACUGCACGCUUUUUUAACAGGCGCGUCAGAAAUGCAGGAAGACACAGCAAUGUGAAGAGGGAUCACAUUAAAUCCCAAGUUGAAACAGUUGUAAAGAGCGACCGAUCAGGUGACUCUGUUUGGGAUUUGAUCUACUUUAAUGGUACUUUUGUCGUAUUAUUGUAUUCAAAUACAGUAAACAUCCAUGUUUAGGAGUCUCUCCCAAUAAAAAUAAACAUACUUUUAAAAAAAUAAAAAGAAAGGGUUGUUACUGAGCUUUAUUGAGAGCUUGAUUAAAUAUGUACAGUAGAUGUUUGAACAUUUAAGUGAAGGACCCAACUAGUGGUUCUGUGCUUUGUUCCAGACCAAAAUAACUGAACAAUUAUUGGAUAAAAUGUCAUGAAAUUUGGUAGAGACCUUCAUGAUGCCUUGAGGAUGAAUCCUGACAGCUUCGGUGAUCCUUUCACUUUCUGUCCAGCAGAACCAGCAGGUCAAAGGUUUCACUUAUCCAGUAAUGUACCUUGACAACUACUUAAUGGACUGGCACAAAAUCCAUCAUUCACGGUUCCCGUUCCAUCGCACAGGAACACUAACCAAAUGUCUCUCUGUGUUCCCUCUGUUACCCUCCAGGUCCUGUGUUCCCUUCUUUGUCCAGCAGAUGUCCUCAGUUUGUUCCCCAAUUGCAACCAAGUGUUUCCUCUCAGCUGUGCUUCGUCUUGAUUAUGUUCCCGUUUCAUUGUCUAGGUUCUGUAUUCUAGGUGUAGUAUGUUCUGUCUAGUUCUCUUAGUUCUACGUGUAUCAUGUUCCCUAUUUAGUUGUAUUUCCCUGUCUAGUCUUAGCCUGCCCCAGCUGUUUCUCUUUGUAGCUACCCCCAUGUGUAUUUUAGUCUUGUUUCCCCGUCAGUCUUGAUUGUAGAAUCGCUGUUAGCUUGUCUCACCUCUACCUACCUGGAUAUAAAUUCCUUGUUAGCUAGUGUUACCUGCACCUGCCAAGAGAGAUUCACUGUUGACCUGCCCGUAUG